AUGAUCAAUGCAGUACUCAAUUCAGACGAUCAACUCGCCCACGCAGCCGUCUUCCGAUGGUUGCUGACGAAGAACAAGACGAAUGUGAUUCUACAGAGCAAAUCUCCGUUUAUCGAGUUCUUCCUGGUACAGGAGAUCAACGC
Molecule: non-coding RNA, 143 nt
Organism: Caenorhabditis elegans
Lineage: Eukaryota; Metazoa; Nematoda; Chromadorea; Rhabditida; Rhabditidae
Source: Ensembl